UACGGAGGAUGCGAGCGUUAUCCGGAUUUAUUGGGUUUAAAGGGUGCAUAGGCGGUCUGUUAAGUCAGCGGUAAAAUUGCGGGGCUCAACCCCGUCGAGCCGUUGAAACUGGCAGACUUGAGUUGGCGAGAAGUACGCGGAAUGCGCGGUGUAGCGGUGAAAUGCAUAGAUAUCGCGCAGAACUCCGAUUGCGAAGGCAGCGUACCGGCGCCACACUGACGCUGAGGCACGAAAGCGUGGGGAUCGAACAGG
This 252-nucleotide ribosomal RNA is filed under the name uncultured bacterium. RNAcentral's name for it is "partial 16S ribosomal RNA". It matches the Rfam family "Bacterial small subunit ribosomal RNA", at positions 524 to 776 of the family's 1533-position model. The record is from RNAcentral.